AAUAUUGUUAAAGCAGUUAGAAGA
This 24-nucleotide non-coding RNA is filed under the name Cricetulus griseus (Chinese hamster). Lineage: Eukaryota; Metazoa; Chordata; Mammalia; Rodentia; Cricetidae. The record is from RNAcentral.